This 67-nucleotide transfer RNA is filed under the name Rhazya stricta. RNAcentral describes it as "tRNA-Glu". It matches the Rfam family "tRNA". From Rfam's summary of the family: Transfer RNA (tRNA) molecules are approximately 80 nucleotides in length. Their secondary structure includes four short double-helical elements and three loops (D, anti-codon, and T loops). Further hydrogen bonds mediate the characteristic L-shaped molecular structure. tRNAs have two regions of fundamental functional importance: the anti-codon, which is responsible for specific mRNA codon recognition, and the 3' end, to which the tRNAs corresponding amino acid is attached (by aminoacyl-tRNA synthetases). tRNAs cope with the degeneracy of the genetic code in two manners: having more than one tRNA (with a specific anti-codon) for a particular amino acid; and 'wobble' base-pairing, i.e. permitting non-standard base-pairing at the 3rd anti-codon position. The record is from RNAcentral. Lineage: Eukaryota; Viridiplantae; Streptophyta; Magnoliopsida; Gentianales; Apocynaceae.
GCCCCCAUCGUCUAGUGGUUCAAGGACAUCUCUCUUUCAAGGAGGCAGCGGGGAUUCGACUUCCCCU